Cervus elaphus (red deer) is the source of this 1847-nucleotide long non-coding RNA. RefSeq lists it as uncharacterized. Lineage: Eukaryota; Metazoa; Chordata; Mammalia; Artiodactyla; Cervidae. The record is from RefSeq and is a predicted model, not a curated record. The transcript is spliced from 7 exons.
AUUUUCUGUCUCUCAUGGUACCACAGAGAGUCGGCGUGCAUGCUUGGGCCAGCGUGGAGACAGGAUGCGUGUAACUCGAUCCUCAAGGAGCUCUGGCCCUGGUGUCUUAUAAAUAUGGAAAGUUCCAUUGGACAGAGAACGACUGGGCAGUGUGGCCUGCUGAGGAGAGAGAGCUGACCCAACAGACACUUGAUCUGACCGGAGCAAGUCCUGUAGAGCCUGCACUGGAGAGACUUUGGCGAUCACCCAGCCACCACCCUGGCUGUGCCUAGAUGCACCUGGGAGCUUAAAAGAAAAUAAUCAUGUCUGGGUUCCAUCCUUGAAGGUUUAAUUCAAGUUGUCUGGGGUAGAACUCUUUGUGAAGUUCUUUGAGAAAGAACAGCAAAAUGUCACCCAUGACCACAGACCUCCCUGGGGCCUCAAAGUCAGUGCAAGAGAUGAAACAGCACCUGCAGGCUGAACAGAGACCCUGGACUAGGAACAAGGCGCCUCAACCCGGCACAACCUCCCGACAAGCUGGCAACUCCAAAUGAAUGUCAAGUAUUUGCGAAGCAAGAUGGCAAAUGCAAAACAUCAUCCAUGAAGUCUUCAGGAAAGGAACUCAUGGAUCUCCUUUUAAUCGUAAGAAGGUUCCCAGACAUUUCUUCAUGGCUCACCUGUGUAGUCCAAGUCAUAGAUCGAGAAUCUACAGGAUUUAAGUGGCAAAUGUCAGCAUAUUUAUAAAUGGCUUUGGUAGAAUCAUGUUUUCAAACAUGCUUUUGCUCAUAAUUCUCUGUUAAGUGACAAGACCAUCACCUUCCUGUAAAUUAGUUCUUCCAGACCAUCUCAGUUUAGCCAGGUAACAACCACUGAAUGUUCACAAAACAUCCUUUGUGAUUGACUUCUGAAGUAUACACCAAACAAGGAAGAGCAUCCAUGAUCCAUGGAGCCCCUGUAACCAGGCAAAUCUGUGCCAGCUACUAAGCACUUGAGAGAAACGUGGGAAAAUCUACUGUUGGGAAAGACAGAAGAAGAAAACCCAAUUCCAGGAUCCACUGGUUCAUGCUUCAACAUGUCUAGGCCUGACUCUGGUUGGUCUUUCUGGACAAAGCAGAGCUGUGAAGAGGCCAGGAGUCCUUCCAAGGUUAGCAGGCUUCUGAGCUCCUGGGGGAAGGAGAAAAGGAGAACUAGGUCGCACUCGCUGUGCGUUGGUUGCCUGGAAUUGUUCUCCUGGCUGUGCUCAGGGGAAAGGACAACUUGACUUCAGUCUUCUGGAACGCGCAUCAGCUGGGAGCGUCUGCUUGACCCCAAAAGGUCAUGUCAGAAACUUUCAAGUUGUGGAAUGUUGCUUGCUCUGUAGAAACACCAGAGGAUUUCACACCUGAAAGGACAACAUUGCAGACAAAAAUGUUCCAGAUCCUGGCCUUUAGAAACGGGAACAUUAAUUUGCCGCAUGUGUUAAGAGGACUGUAGGAACACAGAUAGUUCUCAUGCUGCCGGACACUUCUGAUUUUAUUUGGUCAAAGUUAUAACCUUUGUGUUUCCUUAUGGUAUUCUCUUGGGAAAGCUCUGGUGAUGGGUUCCUUUAGUGCUCCAGCUGGAGUGAUCCUUCAACUGCACUCAUUUGUAGCCACCUAGACUGCAAAAAAAAAAAAAAAAGCAAAAAUCAGAUCUCAUUGACUGUUCCUGAUAUUGGAGAACUGGAGAGAGUUAUUAUUAGCAUGCCCAGAUUGUCUCAGGUUUCUCUGGUAACUCAGAUGGUAAAGAAUCCACUUGCAAUGCAAGUGACCUUGAUUUGAUUCCUGGGUUGGAAAGAUCCCCUGGAGAUGGGAUAGGCUACCAACUCCAGUAUUCUUGGGCUUCCCUGG